AUUGAACGCUGGCGGAAUGCUUAACACAUGCAAGUCGAGCGGGCUGUAGCAAUACAGCUAGCGGCGGACGGGUGAGGAAUACAUAGGAAUCUGCCGCAGAGUGGGGGAUAGCCCGGGGAAACCCGGAUUAAUACCGCAUGAUGUCGUAAGACCAAAGCAGGGGACCGUAAGGCCUUGCGCUUUGAGAUGAGCCUAUGUCGGAUUAGCUAGUUGGCGGGGUAAAAGCCCACCAAGGCGACGAUCCGUAGCUGGUCUGAGAGGACGAUCAGCCACACCGGAACUGAGACACGGUCCGGACUCCUACGGGAGGCAGCAGUGGGGAAUAUUGGACAAUGGGCGCAAGCCUGAUCCAGCAAUUCCGCGUGUGUGAAGAAGGCCU
RNAcentral lists this ribosomal RNA (379 nucleotides) under uncultured bacterium. Its description in RNAcentral is "bacterial SSU rRNA". It matches the Rfam family "Bacterial small subunit ribosomal RNA", at positions 30 to 417 of the family's 1533-position model. The record is from RNAcentral.